UUAGUAAUCAGUUUAUAUACCGUUGUUAUUAAAUAUUUUAUUAGAAUAAUAAUAUUUAAAAUUUUUUAUAAAAAAAUAUAUCAGAUCAAGGUGUAGCUUAUGUUUAAGAAGAAAUGGGUUACAAUAAAAUUAUUUAUGAUGGAUAUAAAAUUGAAAUGUUUUAUUGAAAUUGGAUUUAAUUGUAAAAU
Molecule: ribosomal RNA, 188 nt
Filed under: Glossina palpalis gambiensis
Lineage: Eukaryota; Metazoa; Arthropoda; Insecta; Diptera; Glossinidae
Also listed under: 1 other name
Description: partial 12S ribosomal RNA
Source: RNAcentral